CAGUAGCCGCGGUAAAACGAACCGUGCGAACGUUAUUCGGAAUUACUGGGCUUAAAGCGCGUGUAGGCGGGCCGCCACGUCGGUUGCUGAAAUCCCCCGGCUCAACCGGGGAAGUGGCAUCGAUACGAGCGGCCUUGAGGGGGGUAGGGGGAUCUGGAACUUCCGGUGGAGCGGUGAAAUGCGUUGAGAUCGGAAGGAACGCCCGUGGCGAAAGCGAGGUCCUGGACCCUUUCUGACGCUGAGACGCGAAAGCCAGGGGAGCGAACGGGAUUAGAUACCCCCGUAGUCCCUGUCUCUUAUA
RNAcentral lists this ribosomal RNA (301 nucleotides) under uncultured bacterium. RNAcentral describes it as "partial 16S ribosomal RNA". It matches the Rfam family "Bacterial small subunit ribosomal RNA", at positions 509 to 807 of the family's 1533-position model. The record is from RNAcentral.